This 253-nucleotide ribosomal RNA is filed under the name uncultured bacterium. RNAcentral's name for it is "partial 16S ribosomal RNA". It matches the Rfam family "Bacterial small subunit ribosomal RNA", at positions 524 to 776 of the family's 1533-position model. The record is from RNAcentral.
UACGUAGGGACCGAGCGUUGUCCGGAUUCAUUGGGCGUCAAGAGCUCGUAGGCGGCCACUCAAGUCGAAUGUGAAACCUCGAGGCUUAACCUCGAGCCUGCAUUUGAUACUGGGCGGCUAGAGUCUGGUAGGGGGAUCUGGAAUUCCUGGUGUAGCGGUGGAAUGCGCAGAUAUCAGGAGGAACACCGGUGGCGAAGGCGGGAUCCUGGGCCAGUACUGACGCUGAGGAGCGAAAGCGUGGGGAGCAAACAGG